Molecule: ribosomal RNA, 320 nt
Filed under: uncultured eukaryote
Lineage: Eukaryota
Description: partial 18S ribosomal RNA
Rfam family: Eukaryotic small subunit ribosomal RNA
Source: RNAcentral
CCCCUAGAUGUUCUGGGCCGCACGCGCGCUACACUGAACAGUUCAACAAGUCUUAACCUUGGCCGAUAGGUCUGGGUAAUCUUUGAACGCUGUUCGUGAUUGGGAUAGACCUUUGCAAUUAUGGGUCUUCAACGAGGAAUUCCUAGUAAACGCAAGUCAUCAGCUUGCAUUGAUUACGUCCCUGCCCUUUGUACACACCGCCCGUCGCACCUACCGAUUGAAUGGUCCGGUGAAAUCUCGGGACGGCGGCUUGGUCGCUUGCUUCCGACUGCUGAAACUUGAUUAAACCAUAUCAUUUAGAGGAAGGUGAAGUCGUAACA